Molecule: transfer RNA, 67 nt
Filed under: Calosoma sp. BYU-CO241
Lineage: Eukaryota; Metazoa; Arthropoda; Insecta; Coleoptera; Carabidae
Description: tRNA-Glu
Source: RNAcentral
AUUUAUAUAGUUUAAAAUAAAACCUUACAUUUUCACUGUAAAAAUAAAAUAUCAAUUUUUAUAAAUA